UCAAAAUCAACUAAUGGUUAGUUUGUCCAAUUACAAAAGCUGCUAUAAGUUAACAACACAAAGUUGUUGUUUUAGAAAGAUUAAAAAAAACCAUAAAAGUGUACAGAAUAAUAAUGGUGCAGGUUGAGCUUUCAUCUCGUACUAUCAAACAUUUUAAAUAAUAACAACAAUAAUAAUAAAUAAUAAAUAAAAUAAUCAACACAAAUAGUUAACA
This 214-nucleotide long non-coding RNA is filed under the name Lathyrus oleraceus (garden pea). RNAcentral's name for it is "Pisum sativum (pea) long non-coding RNA (PSAT_LNC018719)". Lineage: Eukaryota; Viridiplantae; Streptophyta; Magnoliopsida; Fabales; Fabaceae. The record is from RNAcentral.